This 561-nucleotide ribosomal RNA is filed under the name uncultured bacterium. RNAcentral describes it as "partial 16S ribosomal RNA". It matches the Rfam family "Bacterial small subunit ribosomal RNA", at positions 355 to 1375 of the family's 1533-position model. The record is from RNAcentral.
UGGGGAAUAUUGGACAAUGGGCGCAAGCCUGAUCCAGCCAUGCCGCGUGAGUGAUGAAGGCCUUAGGGUUGUAAAGCUCUUUCGCCGGUGAAGAUAAUGACGGUAACCGGAGAAGAAGCCCCGGCUAACUUCGUGCCAGCAGCCGCGGUAAUACGAGGGGGCUAGCGUUGCUCGGAAUCACUGGGCGUAAAGCGCACGUAGGCGGAUCGUUAAGUCAGGGGUGAAAUCCUGGAGCUCAACUCCAGAACUGCCCUUGAUACUGGCGAUCUCGAGUUCGAGAGAGGUUGGUGGAACUCCGAGUGUAGAGGUGAAAUUCGUAGAUAUUCGGAAGAACACCAGUGGCGAAGGCGGCCAACUGGCUCGAUACUGACGCUGAGGUGCGAAAGCGUGGGGAGCAAAACAGGAUUAGAUACCCUGGUAGUCCACGCCGUAAAACGAUGGAUGCUAGCCGUUGGGGGGUUUACCUCUCAGUGGCGCAGCUAACGCCUUAAGCAUCCCGCCUGGGGAGUACGGUCGCAAGAUUAAAACUCAAAUGAAUUGACGGGGUCAUAGCUGUUUCCU